RNAcentral lists this unclassified non-coding RNA (257 nucleotides) under Colletotrichum graminicola. RNAcentral's name for it is "partial internal transcribed spacer region". The stretch from base 1 to 46 matches the Rfam family "Eukaryotic small subunit ribosomal RNA", at positions 1786 to 1831 of the family's 1831-position model. Lineage: Eukaryota; Fungi; Ascomycota; Sordariomycetes; Glomerellales; Glomerellaceae. RNAcentral also lists the same sequence under 1 other name. The record is from RNAcentral.
AAGUCGUAACAAGGUCUCCGUUGGUGAACCAGCGGAGGGAUCAUUACUGAGUUACCGCUCUAUAACCCUUUGUGAACAUACCUAACCGUUGCUUCGGCGGGUUAGGGGGUCCCCUCUCCGGGGGACGCCCUCCCGGCCGGGCCCCACUGCGGGGCUCGGCGCCCGCCGGAGGAUAACCAAACUCUGAUUUAACGACGUCUCUUCUGAGUGGCACAAGCAAAUAAUUAAAACUUUUAACAACGGAUCUCUUGGUUCUG